AUGACGGCCAAGGGCGGCGCGUCGCCGGCGCCGGGCGGCGCGGGGGCUGCGGCCAACGGGCGCUUCUUCACGGUGGGGCUCGUCACCGCCUGGUACUCCUCCAACAUCGGCGUGCUCCUGCUCAACAAGUACCUCCUCAGCAACUACGGCUUCAAGUACCCCAUCUUCCUCACCAUGUGCCACAUGUCCGCCUGCGCGCUCUUCUCCUACGCCGCCAUCGCCUGGCUCCGGAUCGUGCCCAUGCAGCUCGUGCGCUCGCGCGUCCAGCUCGCCAAGAUCUCCGCGCUCAGCCUCGUCUUCUGCGGCUCCGUCGUCUCCGGCAACGUCUCGCUCCGCUACCUGCCCGUCUCCUUCAAUCAGGCUGUCGGUGCCACCACCCCUUUCUUCACCGCCGUGUUCGCCUACAUCAUGACCGUCAAGCGGGAGUCGUGGAUCACGUACCUCACUCUCGUCCCCGUCGUCACCGGCGUCGUCAUCGCCAGCGGCGGCGAGCCUAGCUUUCAUCUGUUUGGAUUCAUCAUGUGCAUUGGAGCCACUGCCGCAAGGGCGUUGAAGACCGUGUUGCAAGGAAUUCUUCUGUCUUCUGAGGGGGAGAAGCUUAAUUCUAUGAACCUGCUCUUGUACAUGGCUCCGAUUGCUGUCAUUCUCUUGCUUCCUGCUACCCUCUUUAUGGAGGAUAAUGUUGUUGGCGUUACAAUAGAACUGGCCAAGAAGGAUUUCACCAUUGUUUGGUUGCUGUUGUUCAACUCUUGCUUGUCAUAUUUUGUCAAUUUGACCAAUUUCUUGGUGACCAAACAUACUAGCGCAUUGACUCUACAGGUCCUUGGAAAUGCAAAAGGUGCUGUGGCAGUUGUCGUCUCAAUUCUGAUAUUCAAGAAUCCUGUGUCUGUAACCGGAAUGCUUGGUUACACCCUCACAGUUAUAGGCGUCAUUCUUUACAGUGAAUCCAAAAAGCGUAGCAAACCCUAA
This 969-nucleotide ribosomal RNA is filed under the name Triticum aestivum (bread wheat). RNAcentral describes it as "partial small subunit ribosomal RNA". The record is from RNAcentral. Lineage: Eukaryota; Viridiplantae; Streptophyta; Magnoliopsida; Poales; Poaceae.